RNAcentral lists this small nuclear RNA (56 nucleotides) under Pteropus vampyrus (large flying fox). The record is from RNAcentral. Lineage: Eukaryota; Metazoa; Chordata; Mammalia; Chiroptera; Pteropodidae.
GUGCUCGCUUCGGCAGCACAUAUACUAAAACUGGAACGAUACAGAGAAGAUUAGCA